Molecule: long non-coding RNA, 1190 nt
Filed under: Canis lupus dingo (dingo)
Lineage: Eukaryota; Metazoa; Chordata; Mammalia; Carnivora; Canidae
Description: lncRNA (ENSCAFG00020020005.1)
Source: RNAcentral
GUCGGGUCUGAGUCACCACUAGGGCUGACAAAGGAUUAGAAACCUGGAGCCUUUGCAGGAGUAACAAAGGAGCUGAGACGGGAGGGUCCCUUGUCCUGCUUCAUGAGCCACGCCUCAUACUCAGAGCAAAGUAACUCCACAGGCUUAAUAGAAUCCAGGAUCUGGGAACCAUUGCUGAGGAAGUCAUAGACAUUUCUCAAUUAAUGAAUGAAAGCUGCUCCCUUGGAAGAGGAGGAGAAUGCUAACCACAGUUGAGGAAUCUGAAGAAAGGAAAGGCCAACAGAAGCAAAUCAAUGAUAAAAUCAGAGGAAAUUAUCAGACGCUGAUGGGGUUCUAUACUCUUCCUACCAUGGAAUCACAGUUCAAGAACAUUCAUCUCAUUCUCAGAAUGAAGAGAUGAAGAGUAUCAGAAUCCAGACAAGAAAGGUCUUUCAUCUGUAGAUCUCAGCAGAGUUUGAAAAUAUCAAUUAAAUGUUACAACAUUCCUUUGAAGUGAGUAUUACUAGGUCCAUUUUCCAGACAAGAAAACUGAGAGUCUAAGGGGCUUGCCAGGGGCUACUCAACCAAGAUUCUAGGAGGCCAAGUGCUUCCGACUUCACCUGUGCAGAGCUCUGGGUCUCACAGAGAGAGAGAGAGAGCCUGAGACAGUCUGCCAAAGUUGUUCCCAGGCUCUGAGAAGGAAGACCCUAAAGAAGUAUUCCCCACAAUGCUUCACGAGCUCCGUAGGAACUUUUCCCUUGUCAAAGGGACUGGCUCCAAGAACCGCAAGACUCCAUGAAUCAUUUCUCAGCCUUCUAGUGGGAUGUCAUUUCUCCUCUUCAAAGCUGUCAAAAACCAUUGUUGUUGCUUCUUUUAUGCUCUACCUUGGGUUAUAAUUAUUUAUGUUGGCAUCUGGUUUUUCUCUUAAGACUUCAGACAAGGAUCUUACAUUAUCCCUUAUGCUUGGUACAUAGUACAAGAUAAUAAGUAAAUAUUUUUUUUUACUUUAUUUGAAGUGUGGUUGGUAGGGGGCACCUAGGUGGCUCAGUGGUUAAGCAUCUGCUUUUAGCCCAGGAUAUGAUCCCAGGGUCCUGGGAUCGAGUCCUGCAUCAAGCUCCCCACAGGAAGCCUGCUUCUCCCUCUGCCUAUGUCUAUGCCUCUCUGUGUGUGCCUCUCAUGAAUAAAUAAAUAAAAUAUUUUUUAAAAAUGCA